This 694-nucleotide ribosomal RNA is filed under the name Salmonella enterica subsp. arizonae. RNAcentral's name for it is "partial 23S ribosomal RNA". It matches the Rfam family "Bacterial large subunit ribosomal RNA", at positions 2249 to 2925 of the family's 2925-position model. The record is from RNAcentral. Lineage: Bacteria; Pseudomonadati; Pseudomonadota; Gammaproteobacteria; Enterobacterales; Enterobacteriaceae.
GGACAGUGUCUGGUGGGUAGUUUGACUGGGGCGGUCUCCUCCUAAAGCGUAACGGAGGAGCACGAAGGUUGGCUAAUCCUGGUCGGACAUCAGGAGGUUAGUGCAAUGGCAUAAGCCAGCUUGACUGCGAGCGUGACGGCGCGAGCAGGUGCGAAAGCAGGUCAUAGUGAUCCGGUGGUUCUGAAUGGAAGGGCCAUCGCUCAACGGAUAAAAGGUACUCCGGGGAUAACAGGCUGAUACCGCCCAAGAGUUCAUAUCGACGGCGGUGUUUGGCACCUCGAUGUCGGCUCAUCACAUCCUGGGGCUGAAGUAGGUCCCAAGGGUAUGGCUGUUCGCCAUUUAAAGUGGUACGCGAGCUGGGUUUAGAACGUCGUGAGACAGUUCGGUCCCUAUCUGCCGUGGGCGCUGGAGAACUGAGGGGGGCUGCUCCUAGUACGAGAGGACCGGAGUGGACGCAUCACUGGUGUUCGGGUUGUCAUGCCAAUGGCACUGCCCGGUAGCUAAAUGCGGAAGAGAUAAGUGCUGAAAGCAUCUAAGCACGAAACUUGCCCCGAGAUGAGUUCUCCCUGAGACUACGAGUCUCCUGAAGGAACGUUGAAGACGACGACGUUGAUAGGCCGGGUGUGUAAGCGCAGCGAUGCGUUGAGCUAACCGGUACUAAUGAACCGUGAGGCUUAACCUUACAACGCCGAAG